UACGUAGGGGGCAAGCGUUGUCCGGAAUCAUUGGGCGUAAAGAGCGUGUAGGCGGCUCGAUAAGUCUGCUGUGAAAGUCCAGGGCUCAACCCUGGAAGGCCGGUGGAAACUGUCGGGCUAGAGUCCGGAAGAGGCGAGUGGAAUUCCCGGUGUAGCGGUGAAAUGCGCAGAUAUCGGGAGGAACACCAAUGGCGAAGGCAGCUCGCUGGGACGGUACUGACGCUGAGACGCGAAAGCGUGGG
RNAcentral lists this ribosomal RNA (242 nucleotides) under uncultured bacterium. RNAcentral's name for it is "partial 16S ribosomal RNA". It matches the Rfam family "Bacterial small subunit ribosomal RNA", at positions 524 to 765 of the family's 1533-position model. The record is from RNAcentral.